UACGUAGGGACCAAGCGUUGUCCGGAUUUAUUGGGCGUAAAGAGCGUGUAGGCGGCCAGGUAGGUCUGCUGUGAAAACUCGAGGCUUAACCUCGAGCUGUCGGCGGAAACCAUCUGGCUAGAGUCCGGAAGAGGAGAAUGGAAUUCCCGGUGUAGCGGUGAAAUGCGCAGAUAUCGGGAAGAACACCCGUGGCGAAGGCGGUUCUCUGGGACGGUACUGACGCUGAGACGCGAAAGCGUGGGGAGCGAACAGG
Molecule: ribosomal RNA, 253 nt
Filed under: uncultured bacterium
Lineage: Bacteria
Description: partial 16S ribosomal RNA
Rfam family: Bacterial small subunit ribosomal RNA
Source: RNAcentral